AGUGAACGCUGGCGGUAGGCCUAACACAUGCAAGUCGAACGGCAGCACAGUAAGAGCUUGCUCUUACGGGUGGCGAGUGGCGGACGGGUGAGGAAUACAUCGGAAUCUACUUUUUCGUGGGGGAUAACGUAGGGAAACUUACGCUAAUACCGCAUACGACCUACGGGUGAAAGCAGGGGAUCUUCGGACCUUGCGCGAUUGAAUGAGCCGAUGUCGGAUUAGCUAGUUGGCGGGGUAAAGGCCCACCAAGGCGACGAUCCGUAGCUGGUCUGAGAGGAUGAUCAGCCACACUGGAAAUGAGACACGGUACAGACUCCUACGGGAGGAAGCAGUGGGGAAUAUUGGACAAUGGGCGCAAGCCUGAUCCAGCCAUACCGCGUGGGUGAAGAAGGCCUUCGGGUUGUAAAGCCCUUUUGUUGGGAAAGAAAAGCAGCAGGUUAAUACCCCGCUGUUCUGACGGUACCCAAAGAAUAAGCACCGGCUAACUUCGUG
RNAcentral lists this ribosomal RNA (492 nucleotides) under uncultured bacterium. RNAcentral's name for it is "partial 16S ribosomal RNA". It matches the Rfam family "Bacterial small subunit ribosomal RNA", at positions 29 to 507 of the family's 1533-position model. The record is from RNAcentral.